GUGGGCGGCCUGCGCGGGGCUCAGUGCCGGGGCCUUCGGGGCCUCGGGAACGAUGUCGCGCGCGUCCUUCAUCUGCUCGAAACCGGCUCGUUCACGC
Molecule: transfer RNA, 97 nt
Filed under: Actinomyces sp. ICM58
Lineage: Bacteria; Bacillati; Actinomycetota; Actinomycetes; Actinomycetales; Actinomycetaceae
Description: tRNA-Arg
Source: RNAcentral